RNAcentral lists this ribosomal RNA (253 nucleotides) under uncultured bacterium. RNAcentral describes it as "partial 16S ribosomal RNA". It matches the Rfam family "Bacterial small subunit ribosomal RNA", at positions 524 to 776 of the family's 1533-position model. The record is from RNAcentral.
UACAGAGGUCUCAACCGUUGUUCGGAUUCAUUGGGCGUAAAGGGUGCGUAGGCGGCCGGGUAAGUCUGAUGUGAAAUCCCGCAGCUCAACUGCGGAACUGCAUCGGAUACUCUCCGGCUAGAGGAAUGGAGGGGAGACUGGAAUUCUCGGUGUAGCAGUGAAAUGCGUAGAUAUCGAGAGGAACACCAGUGGCGAAGGCAGGUCUCUGGGCCACUACUGACGCUGAGAAGCGAAAGCAUGGGGAGCGAACAGG